GAUGAAGAACGUAGCGAACGUGCGAAACGUAAUGUGAAUUGCAGAAUUCAGUGAAUCAUCGAAUCUUUGAACGCAUCUUGCGCUCCUUGGUAUUCCGAGGAGCAUGCCUGUUUGAGUGUCGUGAAUACUCUCAACUUCAACCCUUUUUUCGGAAAGGGAGGAAGGUUGGACUUGGGUGUUUGUUGAAGUGCGAGCUUCGACUCAUCCUAAAUGCAUUAGCGAUCUGCCUCGAUCACACACAAUGUGAUAAUUAAACCUAAAGCAUUGUUUAAUGAUCAAGUCGAGACUGCUUCUAACUGUCGCAAGACAAUAACGUGCAUACAUUUGUGCAUGUCAUUUGACCUCAAAUCAGGUAGGACUACCCGCUGAACUUAAGCAUAUCAAUAAGCGGAGGA
RNAcentral lists this unclassified non-coding RNA (395 nucleotides) under soil metagenome. RNAcentral's name for it is "partial contains 5.8S ribosomal RNA, internal transcribed spacer 2, and large subunit ribosomal RNA". The stretch from base 1 to 121 matches the Rfam family "5.8S ribosomal RNA", at positions 35 to 154 of the family's 154-position model. The record is from RNAcentral.